Molecule: ribosomal RNA, 274 nt
Filed under: uncultured bacterium
Lineage: Bacteria
Description: partial 16S ribosomal RNA
Rfam family: Bacterial small subunit ribosomal RNA
Source: RNAcentral
AUACGGAGGGGGCUAGCGUUGUUCGGAAUUACUGGGCGUAAAGCGCGCGUAGGCGGAUUGAUCAGUCAGGGGUGAAAUCCCGGAGCUUAACUCCGGAACUGCCUUUGAUACUGUCAAUCUUGAGUUCGAGAGAGGUGAGUGGAAUUCCUAGUGUAGAGGUGAAAUUCGUAGAUAUUAGGAAGAACACCAGUGGCGAAGGCGGCUCACUGGCUCGAUACUGACGCUCAGGUGCGAAAGCGUGGGGAGCAAACAGGAUUAGAAACCCUUGUAGUCC